CGGGUGAGUAACACGUAGAUAACCUGCCCUUUGGUGGGGAAUAACAUCUCGAAAGAGAUGCUAAUACCGCAUAAGUUCUCCUCCGUGAGGGGGAGAACAAACCUUUCUUGUGAAAGAGAAGGGGCCGGAGGAGGGGUCUGCGGCGGAUUAGCUAGUUGGUGAGGUAAAAGCCCACCAAGGCGACGAUCCGUAGCUGGUCUGAGAGGACGGCCAGCCACACUGGGACUGAGACACGGCCCAG
This 241-nucleotide ribosomal RNA is filed under the name uncultured bacterium. RNAcentral's name for it is "partial 16S ribosomal RNA". It matches the Rfam family "Bacterial small subunit ribosomal RNA", at positions 103 to 334 of the family's 1533-position model. The record is from RNAcentral.